This 301-nucleotide ribosomal RNA is filed under the name uncultured bacterium. Its description in RNAcentral is "partial 16S ribosomal RNA". It matches the Rfam family "Bacterial small subunit ribosomal RNA", at positions 509 to 809 of the family's 1533-position model. The record is from RNAcentral.
CAGUAGCCGCGGGAAUACGGAGGGAGCUAGCGUUGUUCGGAAUUACUGGGCGUAAAGCGCGCGUAGGCGGUUACUCAAGUCAGAGGCGAAAGCCCGGGGCUCAACCCCGGAACUGCCUUUAAAACUAGGUGACUAGAAUCUUGGAGAGGUCAGUGGAAUUCCGAGUGUAGAGGUGAAAUUCGUAGAUAUUCGGAAGAACACCAGUGGCGAAGGCGACUGACUGGACAAGUAUUGACGCUGAGGUGCGAAAGCGUGGGGAGCAAACAGGAUUAGAUACCCCCGUAGUCCCUGUCUCUUAUAA